UUUGUUACCCCGCUGAAUAUAGCAUAUAAGUAAGCGGAGGAUAGGAACUAAACAGGAUUCCUUAGUAAUGGCGAAUGAACAGGGAUGAGCUCAACAUUGAAAUUGCGGCCUCAGGCUGUGAAUUGUAAUCUCAAGAUGUACUGCUAGCGGGGGCGCGGGUGAAAGCCUCUUGGAAAAGAGAAUCAUUGAGGGUGAGAAUCCUGUUUGUCACUCGCAGACCUCCGUGCACGGCGUACGUUCUUAGAGUCACGUUCCUCGGGAUUGGAGCGCAAAUUGGGUGGUAAAUUUCAUCCCCAAGCUAAAUAUGGGUUCGAAACCGAUAGCAAACAAGUACCAUGAGGGAAAGAUGAAAAGGACUUUGAAAAGAGAGUUAAAAGUGCCUGAACUUGCUGAAAGGAAAGCGGAUGGAACCAGUGUUGCUUGGUAAGAUUGUCGCGUGCUAAGGUGAUUCUCGCUGCGUCAGCGCAAGCGGUGCUGUGGGUUGGAUCCUUCCGCGCGCGAUGCUUCUUGCCUUGUGCGUCAUCGUCGGUUUGGAGGUGAGGACAACUCUUGGGACAUGGUAGCUUGCCCCUGGGCGAGCGAACGUGCCUUGUGGAACUCACCGCCAGACUGUGAAUAGAAUGUGUGGGGGCGUUGUGCGUCGCGCUGUCGCCCAGUGGGAUAUAAACAGGCUGCGGCAGUUGUGCCCGCGCACCCCGCACACACAACCAUGGUGACUAAAUGGUUCCAUUCGACCCGUCUUGAAACACGGACCAAGGAGUCUAACAUAUGUGCGAGUUCUUGGGUUUGAAACCUACGUGCGCAAUGAAAGUGAUUACUGAGAUGCUAGCAUCAGCAGCCGACCGAUCAAUUGGGAGAGGUUUGAGCAUGAGCAUAUCUGUUAGGACCCGAAAGAUGGUGAACUAUGCUUGUGAAGGGCGAAGCCUGGGGAAACUCAGGUGGAGGCUCGUAGCGAUACUGACGUGCAAAUCGUUCGUCAUACAUGAGUAUAGGUCGAAAGACCAUAGACCCCC
Molecule: ribosomal RNA, 1013 nt
Filed under: Gymnodinium catenatum
Lineage: Eukaryota; Dinophyceae; Gymnodiniales; Gymnodiniaceae
Description: LSU rRNA
Rfam family: Eukaryotic large subunit ribosomal RNA
Source: RNAcentral